AGGAUUGUUUGGUUUUUUGCUCACGAAAAACCCUAUUCCUUCAUUUUGAGUAGUUAACAUUGAAGAAGAGGGAAAUGUGUUUGCAACAGUGGACAUGUCAUAAGCUGUUUUCGUAAGUUCUCCAAAACAGUCUUACAAAUGCUUAUGCUAAUAGAUAAACUCAAAAUAAGCCAAUCCAAACAUGACCUAAGUCUAUAUUUUGGUGUAUAUAUAUAUAUAUAUAUAUAUAUAUAUAUAUUUUGAGAUUUAAGUUAAUUGCAAGAAUAACAUAACAGAUGAUCAUAUACUAUUUUAAUCACGCUUCAUUUAUCUUUAGAAACAUUUUGUAGCUUCCUCAAUUAUUAAAAAAGGAAAAAUAAGUCAUCCCCUCCUACCCUUCAAAAUUUUACAUCCAUUCAUACCCUAAAUUUUUUGCGGUAUUAGGUAGUGAAAAAUCAUGUAUUGAAAGUGAGAAAUUGGUUUGUUUGUCUCAUUUUACUGUACUGAGUUGCAUGCAUUAUUUGUA
Molecule: long non-coding RNA, 505 nt
Filed under: Medicago truncatula (barrel medic)
Lineage: Eukaryota; Viridiplantae; Streptophyta; Magnoliopsida; Fabales; Fabaceae
Description: long non-coding RNA (MTRU_LNC000973)
Source: RNAcentral